UUAGUGCUGUUUAUUUUCCGUCGUCGUCUUUCGAGCAGCGCGUGAUGUUGUUCCAGGGAAAAUUGAGUCGAAUGAAUCGUCGCAGUCCCAACGUAUAUCGCGCAGUGUUGACCAAGGCCAAGCCAACCAAUAAUUCUGGUGAGUUAUGCUUUCGUAGACUGUUUUGCUUAGCUGUGCUAGCUAUCCACACAUAGUCGCAUUCUCAUACGAGUAAGUUGACUGAAUCAAAACAGCCGAAGUGCCUGUAAUAGAUGUUGCUCGUUAGUAAAUCUGCGCCGUUUGUAGUUUGUUGCGCGUUUAGGAACAACAAAUUUAUUCGAAGUUAAGACGUUAAGAUACCGAUAACGCGUCACCGUAUAGCAGUAUUUAUUGUGAUGUGUUAAUUUGUCGCCCUGCAAACGUCCCGAAAUGGAAACAUCGCGGGGCCGCUCCGUGAGACUGUCCUUCAACGAACGACGGCCAACCUAUUCACAAGGCAAAAGAAUGUACGCGAUGGACCCAAAUUUUGGGUUACGAGCAAGGACGGGGCCUUGAACACCCUUUAAAAGCGUUGGCCUCCGAUGGACAGUGAGGAGUGCCAGGGGAAACUCUGCCAGUGAAUCUAGCGGUGUGGAAUCAACGAGCGAGUGCCCGGACUCCGAGACGUGAACUGCAACCAUCGGCCAAGAUGGAACGGAACCCCGCCGACCAAUGAGCUACCCAGCCGGAGUGACUAAGCCAGCGCACCGAUCUAGAAAAGGGAUCCUCCCGAGGUCAAGUGGACGCCGUAGCCGCCUAGAACUGGGUCGUCGGGUCACCGCAAUUGUGUAAUUGUAAGCUCAGACAUUUUGUCGUUUCUGUUGACGCCGCAGCUGUAGAGUUAAAUGUGUUAUGUAAAUUAAAGGAAUGUUUUCUAACUGCACCCAAGUCUCUGGUGUGUUUCCACCCAGCGUGGACCCUUUGCCAGUCAAUGCGAUCGUCACAUUAUCAUUCUAUUUUUCCAUUCCAUUCGUGUUAUGUGGCUACAUGAAUGAUUCCGGAAAAGAAUAACAACAACAACAUGGCUAAUGGGAUGUUGCUGCCCAGGGAGUCCUGGCCGAAGAGGUUUACUCAUUCCAGAAGCAAGAAUUGUACCAUUGUAAGGCGAAUGGGAAUAAACGGACGUCGACUGAGA
Molecule: long non-coding RNA, 1153 nt
Organism: Ornithodoros turicata
Lineage: Eukaryota; Metazoa; Arthropoda; Arachnida; Ixodida; Argasidae
Exons: 3
Source: RefSeq, a predicted model, not a curated record